GACGAACGCUGGCGGCGUGCCUAAUACAUGCAAGUCGAACGCAGUGGGGACGGGUGAGUAACACGUGGGUAACCUCCCAUCAGAGGGGAUAACACUUGGAAACAGGUGCUAACGACCUACUGAAGUAGGGACCCGCGGUGCAUUAGCUAGUUGGCGAGGUAAAGGCUCCCCAAGGACACGAUGCAUAGCCGACCUGAGAGGGUGAUCAGCCACACUGGGACUGAGACACGGCCCAGACUCCUACGGGAGGCAGCAGUGGGGAAUCUUCGGCAAUGGGCGAAAGUCUGACCGAGCCACGCCGCGUGUGUGAAGAAGGUUUUCGGAUCGUAAAGCUCUGUUGUUAGGGAAGCCUUCUCUCCCCCGAAAGCCACGGCUAACUACGUGCCAGCAGCCGCGGUAAUAC
RNAcentral lists this ribosomal RNA (403 nucleotides) under uncultured bacterium. RNAcentral describes it as "partial 16S ribosomal RNA". It matches the Rfam family "Bacterial small subunit ribosomal RNA", at positions 28 to 526 of the family's 1533-position model. The record is from RNAcentral.